Long non-coding RNA from Mandrillus leucophaeus (drill), 5075 nucleotides. RefSeq lists it as uncharacterized. The transcript is spliced from 2 exons. The record is from RefSeq and is a predicted model, not a curated record. NCBI's taxonomy places the organism in Eukaryota, Metazoa, Chordata, Mammalia, Primates, Cercopithecidae.
AAGAGGGAUUUGUGGUGAUUUGGGAGCCAAAGGAAGGAGCACUUCACCCAGUGUGGGGCAUGGUUUGGGAAGGUAUCCCCAGAGAAAGUGACUCUGUGGCUGAGCUUGAAGGAAGAUAAUUGGUAGGUGACAAAGAAGAGGUCCACCCCUAUGAUCUGAUUUGAAUCAAGGUCUCAAGCUAACCUAAGGAAAAAAAGUAAGAAAGCAGAGAAUCUAUAUGUCAGAAAGCAGAGAAUUGGAAGGGAAGUCACAAAAGGAGAAAACAUACUUGUAGGCGAUACUUGUAGGCAUUGUUUCAGGUAGUGAGUGAAGUCUGCAAACAAACAGAAGUUCUUUCUCUCAUGGAAUGUGUGUACUAAUUGGAGAAAGCAUUGUUUGAAAAAAUAAGCAAAUAGUGUUUCAGGCUGUGUUCAAGGCAAUGUAUUGAGUUCUUUACACAAUAGUGAUGCUGAUGGAUAAACAUUCCCAGUUUGAUCUCAAUCCAAUGAAACACCCCCUUUCAAAGUCCUACUCCCUCCCAACUGAUGUCCUAAAGCUCACAGAAAAGACUAGCUGGGUGUGUGAAUUCACCUUUCCUCAUAAUUCUGCAACCUGUUUAAGAAAGUUUUAGUUCUGAUUUUUAGCCUUAUCUUGCCUGUGAUUACAUGAAAUAAGAGAUUCUUUUAGGGCUACCCCAGAAACAAACUUGUUCUCUCAUCAGAGCUGAGUUGGUAGACAGUCUGAAGGCUAGAUCUUGUUAUUUUCCUCUGUUAUCUCUCCAGUGCUGUAAAAAGCAUCCAUCCCAGCAUCCUUGUAUUCAUCAUUAACAUUGUAGCUACAUGCAGCAGCCACUGGGUCAUCCAAAGCACUUGCCAGAGUGAGCACUUCCUCCACUGAGGCUGGAGGGUCUACGAUGGCUUCACUCACAUGUGUGGGGUCUUGGUGCAGGUGCUAACUGUUCCUCUCUUUCUUUAAGGUCUGUUUUCAAUAUUCUAGUAUAGGCUUUGUUAGGUAGUGGCAGAAACACUCCAAAAUAGCAAGGUAGAAGGCUCAGGAACUCACACAGUUUCACUUCUGCAUAUUCAGUUACCACCCAAACCAAGGGGCCUGGAAAUUGGCUCUACCUCUUGAGUUACAUGUCCUAAAAUAUCAUAGCCACUUUUUCAAUCUAUUAGAUGAAGCCUACAGUAUGAAUGUAUCUCAGAAAUGUGAUAGAUUUUAAAUUGAUCUUGCCUUUCUAAAGAUGGUUCCCAUCUAUACUCUGUGAGAGACACCUCUAAAAUGUCUCAUCUCAAAAGAGUAUUGGGUAAGAUGUCCAGUAACGUAGGUUUGUGGUCUGGCUCUGGAACUGAUUUAUAUUAUCUUGUAAUGAUAGCAAUGAUGAUGAUUUUGGUGAUGACAGUGAUGAUGAUUUUGUUAAGAUAUGAUUUAGACAAUGCAGUUCAUCAAUAAUUUCCUGUGUAUUGUUACAGAUAUUUAACUAAUUCUAAUUUUACCUUUUUUGGACUUUAUAUAUAUUAUCUGUUAAAUAUAAAGACCAUAUUUUACUUUUGUCCUAGAUAUUUGUCACUAUCUUGCACCCAUUUCUCCCUCCUAAUAGCACCCAGACUUUCCUCUAGAUGAAUUGCCUCUUGAAUGUGUGCUCUUGGUUGAAAGUAAACCCAGAAAUCUGCCCUCUUCUCGGGUGGCUUAAGGGUUCCCGAGACAUUUGUUUGCAAGAGCAUAGCCAAAAGCUGGGCUGAUUAUCUAAAUAUGGCCAGGAAGGCAUCUCUCACCUGGAACUUUAAGUCUUAACUAAGAUGAGUCAACACAGAAGAAAACAUUAUAGUUCCUGCAGCCCAGUGGUGGGAACCUGGUGAACUUGUCAAGUUCUGACUGAUGAGACUGUCAAGAACACCCUGAUAGCUCUUAGUUCUUAGCCUGGUUCACCACACUGUCUUCCCUAUGAUCCUCGCACCUGCACUCCAGCUCUCCAGUGGGUCCCUUCUUGCACAGGUAAGCCUGCAUUAUUGUUGGCAUCUCAGGAACCAUGACUGCUUCAGUUAUCUAUUGAAUUACCUUAGAAGUGCCUGGAGUGAUGGAAAGCACUUGGCCAAAGUUUACAAAGCACUGUAGCCAAGAACUGGUUCCAAAUUUCAGGUCUGCCUUUUCUGCUCACAUUUUAGCAUUUGACAAUCAAACUUUCUAAGCACCAGUGUCUUUCGUUGUAACAUGAGACACAAUAAUACAUCCCAAGCAGGGGGGUUAAGAUUAAAUUAGAGAGCAGCUGUGAAGCACCUGGGAGAGCUUCUGGCACACAGUAACAGUGGAAAGUUCUGGCACUACAGUAGAAAGUUCUUUCCCUUUUUGUUAAUGUUAAUGCAUCAUCCCCAUUCACAGAGACUGGAGUAUCCCUUGACUACUCCAGUCAAAGGGAAACCCAGGUUGACAUGUUCCCUCCCCCUAGGUCAUGUCCUCCUCUGACGUUAUGUGGUCAGCCUGUGAAGCUGUACCUUGGAGUUUGAAGAUGAGUCUGGUGUUUGUAAUCCACGAGAACCACUGAGGUCACAUGGUGUAGUGGAAUGAGCAUAGGAUUUGGGAUCAGGCAGGUCUGAACUCGUACCUAAUAAUGACAUAUGUGAUUAGUUGCUUAAUCUUGAACCUCAUUUAUUGUCCUAUGUGCUAUGAUUCUCUCAUACUGACCACACAGGGCCAUUAUGAAAUGAUAAUUGGAAAUUUACAUGCAGGUUCUUUGUAACCUAGAAGAAUAUUAUCUUUGUGCUGGAGCCUCCUCAAAGAUUUUCGGGGAUGUACUCACCAGAUCCUUUGUCUUGUACAGCUCCUAGUGGAUAAAUGAAGGCCGUCAAAUGGGCAGGAAAUAAUCCAAUUUCCAUGAAAGUUAAUUGAGCUCUGUGUUUUCUAAAGGCUAAUAGCCUGGUGAGAGAUGUCCUGAGUCAAGCUAAUGUGAUGACCCACUUGUUUUUUCAGGUACCAAUUACGGAACAGAAGCCACAUCUGUCACUGAUAACCUGUUUGUAUAGUGACCUCUUCCACCCCACCCACAAGGUUGCCAUGGCAAUUUUAGGUCAAGAAGAUCAUCCCAUUGAAAGACAGGAGAUGUUGAGGAGUAAAAUGCAGUCCCCAGGAAACCUGGUUUUAGUCCUUGCUACAUACUGUUAAAUGGCUGGGCCAGAGUCUGGUUGGGACUGCUGUGCCAGGCAUCAUCCCCAGGUGAUGUCUGAUCAUCCUGGCCUGUCUUUGGCAAGAAUCCAGUUCAGUGGGUUUUGCCGGAAUCAUUUUCCUUCUGAUGUUUUCUCUUAAUUGUUUUCCAUCCCCUGAUCCCUCUCCUGCUCCUUGGUUAUAUAUUUCCCCUUACUUGUGCUGUAUUCAAAACUGAACCCAGUUUUAUAUUGAGGCAUCUCUUCUCCUGUUUCAAUAAUCCAGAAUAGAGUCUGUUUUCACCGCUUUAACUACUGCCUAGCUCUGUUUUUUCUUUGACAGAGCUCAGAAGUGCAAUUCAAAUUUGAUUUGUAGAUGUAGCAGCAAUCAAGAUUUAGCUGGUAUUUGAAGACACUUAUAUUAUCACUCUUUUUACUACCUUUUAUUAUAUAUUUUGACUCUGCCCCACAUUAUUUUUGCUGAGGAAGCAGAGUUCCAGGAACUCUCAGGGAGUACUUGAGACAUGGCUCUUCAAUAGCCACCUGGCACCUUCUCCUAGAUAAGAGGUGUGGAAUUCUAGGAGCUCCUUCUUGCUUGAGAGCCCCUUGAGUAAUAAUUAUUUUUUAAAAAGCUGUUAUAAUAAAAUUUUGCAUUUAAAUUGCCUCUUAUUCUUAGCGUGUCAAAGUGCUUUACAAACAUGAAUUGCUAGAAACCUUUUAGGUUAAUUAAAAUGAGCAGGUUUCCGAGACAAAGAAGGUGACUGUUUUUGUACUUUCGGGUGUUUUUACAGGUGAGUGAAUUGAAGCACAAAUAACUUCUUUGACUAAUCAAAUAGAGAUGUUCUGAGAACAGGUGAUUUCAGCAUUAGCACACCAACCAUGCUGCCAAAUUUCAUUGCCCUUCAGAAAUAUAAUGACAAUAAUGUAGUGAUUCCUGAAUUCUGGUAUUCUAAUAUUUGUGCUACGAUUUACUGAAUGGCUGCAGUAAGCCAUGCAUUAUGCCUGGCACUUGGUUUGUGGUAGUGUGUUGCAUUCUCACAAUGCCACUGUAAAGUAGGUCUUAUCUUUGCUUUAUGCUCCUGUAAGGUAGGAUUUAUCAUCAUUUUACAGCCCUGGACACUCAGUGCGAAAGCAACUGAGCCACUUGUCAUAGGUCCUGCAGCUAGGAAAUGGCAGAGUGUAUUAGUCUGUAUUCACACUGCUAUAAAGAACUGCCUGAGAUGGGAUAAUUUAUAAAGAAAAUAAAUUUAAUUGACUCAUAGUUCAGCAUGGCUUGGGAGGCCUCAGGAAACUUACAAUCAUGACAUAAGGGGAAGGAGAAGCAAGGCACCAUCUUCACAAGGUGGCAGGAAGAAGUGCCAAGUGAAGGGGGAAGAACCCCUUAGAAAACCAUCAGUUCCCAUGAGAACUCACUCAUUACCACAAGAACAGCAUGAGAGUAAUUGCCCCCAUGAUUCAGUUACCUCCCACCAGGUCCCUUCCAUGACACAUGGGGAUUAGGGGGAUUCUAAUUCAAGAUGAGUUCUGGGUAGGGACACAAAGCCUAACUAUAUCACAGAGCUGGGGUUUUAACCCAUGUUUGUUUGACUGCUGUGUCUAUAUUCUUCUUCUCUACCAAUAUCAUUACCAAACGUUAUUACUUAGUUCUUCUCUAUUUCUAAACUCCUGAGGAAUAUAACAUAUUCCUGUCAUUAAGAGAAGCUGCUAACUUGAAAUGGGAGUUCAGUAAUGGCAGUGAGAGGAGAGGAAGUAACACUGUUGGAGGAGGUCAGAGCACAGGGGGCCUUAAAAACAAGCCAUGGCAUUUGGACUUUAUUCUCCUUAUUUAUGCCAUCCUGUUUAUCAAUAUUGAUCUGCAGCACUCCAAGGUCCAAGGGGCAAAGGCAAGGAAAUCUCCAGCCUCUGAGAAUAUGAGAAGACACUAUAGUAAAUAUGUCAACAAAUUUUAUUCUCACAACA